UGCAGAGAGAAAGAAAAAAGUUUUAGGC
RNAcentral lists this non-coding RNA (28 nucleotides) under Mus musculus (house mouse). The record is from RNAcentral. Lineage: Eukaryota; Metazoa; Chordata; Mammalia; Rodentia; Muridae.